This 253-nucleotide ribosomal RNA is filed under the name uncultured bacterium. RNAcentral's name for it is "partial 16S ribosomal RNA". It matches the Rfam family "Bacterial small subunit ribosomal RNA", at positions 524 to 776 of the family's 1533-position model. The record is from RNAcentral.
UACGUAGGGUGCAAGCGUUAAUCGGAAUUACUGGGCGUAAAGCGUGCGCAGGCGGUUCGUUGUGUCGGUGGUGAAAUCCCCGGGCUUAACCUGGGAAUGGCCAUGGAAACUGGCGAACUGGAGUGUGGCAGAGGGGGGUGGAAUUCCGCGUGUAGCAGUGAAAUGCGUAGAGAUGCGGAGGAACACCGAUGGCGAAGGCAGCCCCCUGGGCUAACACUGACGCUCAGGCACGAAAGCGUGGGGAGCAAACAGG